GCGAAGAACCUUACCUGGCCUUGACAUCCACGGAAUUCGGCAGAGAUGCCUUAGUGCCUUCGGGAACCGUGAGACAGGUGCUGCAUGGCUGUCGUCAGCUCGUGUUGUGAAAUGUUGGGUUAAGUCCCACAACGAGCGCAACCCUUAUCCUUUGUUGCCAGCGAUUCGGUCGGGAACUCAAAGGAGACUGCCGGUGAUAAACCGGAGGAAGGUGGGGAUGACGCCAAGUCAUCAUGGCCCUUACGAGUAGGGCUACACACGUGCUACAAUGGCGCAUACAAAGAGAAGCGGACUCGCGAGAGCAAGCGGACCUCAUAAAGUGCGUCGUAGUCCGGAUCGGAGUCUGCAACUCGACUCCGUGAAGUCGGAAUCGCUAGUAAUCGUGGAUCAGAAUGCCACGGUGAAUUCGUUCCCGGGCCUUGUACACACCG
Molecule: ribosomal RNA, 431 nt
Filed under: uncultured bacterium
Lineage: Bacteria
Description: bacterial SSU rRNA
Rfam family: Bacterial small subunit ribosomal RNA
Source: RNAcentral